GGAGGGGUGGCCGAGCGGCUUAAGGCAACGGUUUGCUAAACCGUCGUAGUGGCAACGCUACCGGAGGUUCAAAUCCUCUCCCCUCCGCCA
RNAcentral lists this transfer RNA (90 nucleotides) under Chitinivibrionales bacterium. RNAcentral's name for it is "tRNA-Ser". It matches the Rfam family "tRNA". Rfam says of the family: Transfer RNA (tRNA) molecules are approximately 80 nucleotides in length. Their secondary structure includes four short double-helical elements and three loops (D, anti-codon, and T loops). The record is from RNAcentral. Lineage: Bacteria; Pseudomonadati; Fibrobacterota; Chitinivibrionia; Chitinivibrionales.